Molecule: long non-coding RNA, 1200 nt
Filed under: Olea europaea (common olive)
Lineage: Eukaryota; Viridiplantae; Streptophyta; Magnoliopsida; Lamiales; Oleaceae
Description: long non-coding RNA (OEUR_LNC006460)
Source: RNAcentral
CUCGAACAAUUUUGAAACCUUUGAUAAAAGGUUUUACAAGGCAUUUUCAAGAAAAUAAAAUUAAUUAAAUUGAAAUUGUCGAUAGAAAUUUCAUGGCUGAUUUUCAACUAUGUUUUAUCAAUGAUUUUGAAGGAGAUAUCUUAAACGCUUCACAACUUAUAGCAUAUGUUAAAGUUGAGAAUCCAGCUGUGAUAUGUAGAUCGAGAAUCUGAAGUCUUUCUUUAUUAAACCUUGUCUUGAAAUUGCGAAGUGUUUUCAUUGGACCCUUAAUGCAUCUGCAUGAAUGAUGCGACCGUCUUCUUGACAUGCUUGCUGUUUGUGAAGAAAGCGGAUUAUUUAUCAUGCAAGUCUAAGAAAUAAGCUAUGGAGUCAGGUUCCAAUGUGUAAAAUCAAUCUCUAACUGCAUUAGUAAAGGUUUGAGGAAAGGCCUUACACAUUAUCGCAUCAGGUGCAACCUGUUGGUUCGUGAUAUCUGUAUAUAUGUUCAAAUGACUGAUGGGAUCGAUUGUCCCUUCAUACUCCUUUACCCGAGGACACUUAAUUCUGUCCGACAACGGGUAUGAUAAGACUUCAGGGGUGAAAUGGGUGUUAGGGGUAAACCCUGUUGUUGCUUGAGUAGUUAGAAGCAUACCCCUUGCAAUCUUAUAUUGAAUGAUCCUAGCAAGUUCAGUAGAGUCCAUUGUAAUCCAUCUCAAGCUCGAUGCCAAAUAAGGUAUGCCCAAAGUUUCGACAUCAUUUUUGCUAGGACGUGAAGUCUAAGCUCGAGCAUCUUCCAUAAGACCACCCUAUAGCCGUGGUGCUGGGUGUAGAUUUAUUUGAUUUAGUAACUGAGUUAGUGUGGCAACUUGUUGGCAGGGCCCUUCAAACAUUCGAAGGGCAAUGACUGCUAAUAGAGGUGUUGUUUUCCCUGAUGAUUCCUCCUGCGGAAUCGAAGGAUCUUCAGCGUAUGGCUUAUUAGGGACAGAUGAGUUUGCUUGAAGAUGUCCUAAACGUGUAUUAACCAUAACUUUUGAUAGCGAUUUACAUAGAAAGCGUUAAUGAUGGUGCCAAAUAUUUGGGGAUUUUCGAGCUUGAAGAUAGAGAAUGAGCAGAGACAAUAUCUUUCGAUAUUUGAAAUAAAGGGAUUGAGGUGUGUUUUUGUCACCCCUCUAAUGCUUGAGUUAGAGAAAGAAUUUGUGCGUGGGACUACAAACUGAAAAC